AACGAACGCCGGCGGCAUGCCUAACACAUGCAAGUCGAACGAUUGCCUUCGGGUGAUAGUGGCGCACGGGUGCGUAACGCGUGGGAAUCUGCCCUUAGGUUCGGAAUAACAGCUGGAAACGGCUGCUAAUACCGGAUGAUAUCGCGAGAUCAAAGAUUUAUCGCCUGAGGAUGAGCCCGCGUUGGAUUAGGUAGUUGGUGGGGUAAAGGCCUACCAAGCCGACGAUCCAUAGCUGGUCUGAGAGGAUGAUCAGCCACACUGGGACUGAGACACGGCCCAGACUCCUACGGGAAGCAGCAGUGGGGAAUAUUGGACAAUGGGCGCAAGCCUGAUCCAGCAAUGCCGCGUGAGUGAUGAAGGCCCUAGGGUUGUAAAGCUCUUUUACCCGGGAAGAUAAUGACUGUACCGGGAGAAUAAGCCCCGGCUAACUCCGUG
RNAcentral lists this ribosomal RNA (435 nucleotides) under uncultured bacterium. Its description in RNAcentral is "partial 16S ribosomal RNA". It matches the Rfam family "Bacterial small subunit ribosomal RNA", at positions 29 to 507 of the family's 1533-position model. The record is from RNAcentral.